This 465-nucleotide ribosomal RNA is filed under the name uncultured bacterium. Its description in RNAcentral is "bacterial SSU rRNA". It matches the Rfam family "Bacterial small subunit ribosomal RNA", at positions 330 to 793 of the family's 1533-position model. The record is from RNAcentral.
ACUCGACUCCUACGGGAGGCAGCAGUGGGGAAUAUUGGACAAUGGGCGCAAGCCUGAUCCAGCCAUGCCGCGUGCAGGAAGACUGCCCUAUGGGUUGUAAACUGCUUUAUACGGGAAGAAACACUCCCUCGUGAGGGAGCUUGACGGUACCGUAAGAAUAAGGAUCGGCUAACUCCGUGCCAGCAGCCGCGGUAAUACGGAGGAUCCAAGCGUUAUCCGGAAUCAUUGGGUUUAAAGGGUCCGUAGGUGGAUAAUUAAGUCAGAGGUGAAAUCCUGCAGCUCAACUGUAGAAUUGCCUUUGAUACUGGUUAUCUUGAGUCAUUAUGAAGUGGUUAGAAUAUGUAGUGUAGCGGUGAAAUGCAUAGAUAUUACAUAGAAUACCAAUUGCGAAGGCAGAUCACUAAUAAUGUACUGACACUGAUGGACGAAAGCGUGGGGAGCGAACAGGAUUAGAUACCCUGGUAG